AAGGAGUGCAGUUUUGCAUUGCUCAUGUCCAACAUUUGACCGUCCGUUUUAUUUGAAAAAUUUUAUGAUUAGUAUUUUAUUGUUAUUAGAUGAUAAAACAUAAUAGUAUUGUAUUUUACAUGUGACUAUUUUUAAAAAGAAAUUCAUAAAUUUUUCAAAUAAAACGGAUGAUCAAACAUUAGACACGGAAAUUCACGACUGCACUUAAA
Oryza glaberrima (African rice) is the source of this 209-nucleotide non-coding RNA. The record is from Rfam. NCBI's taxonomy places the organism in Eukaryota, Viridiplantae, Streptophyta, Magnoliopsida, Poales, Poaceae.